This 417-nucleotide ribosomal RNA is filed under the name uncultured bacterium. RNAcentral's name for it is "bacterial SSU rRNA". It matches the Rfam family "Bacterial small subunit ribosomal RNA", at positions 954 to 1370 of the family's 1533-position model. The record is from RNAcentral.
AUGAUACGCGAGGAACAUUACCCGGGCUCAAACGGGGAGUGCCGCAGGCAGAGACGCCUGUUUUCCCACGGGACACUCCCCGAGGUGCAGCAUGGUUGUCGUCAGCUCGUGCCGUGAGGUGUCGGCUUAAGUGCCAUAACGAGCGCAACCCCCGCGUGCAGUUGCUAACAGAUAACGCUGAGGACUCUGCACGGACUGCCGGCGCAAGCCGCGAGGAAGGCGGGGAUGACGUCAAAUCAGCACGGCCCUUACGUCCGGGGCGACACACGUGUUACAAUGGGUGGUACAGCGGGAAGCCAGGCGGCGACGCCGAGCGGAACCCGAAAUCCACUCUCAGUUCGGAUCGGAGUCUGCAACCCGACUCCGUGAAGCUGGAUUCGAUAGUAAUCGCGCAUCAGCCAUGGCGCGGUGAAUACG